CAGUAGCCACGGUAAUACGAAGGGUGCAAGCGUUACUCGGAAUUACUGGGCGUAAAGCGUGCGUAGGUGGUGGUUUAAGUCCGUUGUGAAAGCCCUGGGCUCAACCUGGGAAUUGCAGUGGAUACUGGGUCACUAGAGUGUGGUAGAGGAUAGUGGAAUCUCCGGUGUAGCAGUGAAAUGCGUAGAGAUCGGAAGGAACAUCUGUGGCGAAGGCGACUAUCUGGGCCAACACUGACACUGAGGCACGAAAGCGUGGGGAGCAAACAGGAUUAGAUACCCCCGUAGUCCCUGUCUCUUAUAC
This 301-nucleotide ribosomal RNA is filed under the name uncultured bacterium. RNAcentral describes it as "partial 16S ribosomal RNA". It matches the Rfam family "Bacterial small subunit ribosomal RNA", at positions 509 to 807 of the family's 1533-position model. The record is from RNAcentral.